AAACAUGAAUCCAUGCGUAUGUAAAUCUACAUAUUUUUAAGGUGAAAUUGUUAAGGUCUAUUAAUAUCAGUUUUUAUUAUUUCAGAUUUAUUUGUAUAUGUGUAGGAUUAGUAUUUAUUGAGUAAAUACAGGGGUGAUCUAUGUUGGGGAACCAGUGUGGAAGUUUUUUUUAGAUAUAAAGCCAUCAUUUUAUUGGGGGGGACUCAUAAUCGUUUGACUUUUUGUCAGUUUUAUUGUAGUAGAGAUGUUUUUCUCAAGUUUCUCCCCUAUCAGCUUUUUGGGGUAGAGUAUUGGACUACCAUGGCAGUGGCGGGUGGAGAAGAAUUUGGGUUUUAUUUCGGAGAGGGAGCCUGAGAGAUGUCUCCCACACACAAAGGAGGCAGCAGGCGCGUAUAUUCCCCACUCCCCCCGCGGGGAGGUAGUGACAAAAAAUCACAAUAGGAACCUUUGGGUUUUGUAAUUGGAAUGAGAACAAUGUACAAUCCUUAUCGAUAAACCAUUGGAGGGCAAGUCUGGUGCCAGCAGCCGCGGUAAUCCAGCUCCAAAGC
RNAcentral lists this ribosomal RNA (548 nucleotides) under Blastocystis hominis. Its description in RNAcentral is "partial small subunit ribosomal RNA". It matches the Rfam family "Eukaryotic small subunit ribosomal RNA", at positions 39 to 594 of the family's 1831-position model. The record is from RNAcentral. Lineage: Eukaryota; Bigyra; Opalinata; Blastocystidae.